This 758-nucleotide ribosomal RNA is filed under the name uncultured archaeon. Its description in RNAcentral is "bacterial SSU rRNA". It matches the Rfam family "Archaeal small subunit ribosomal RNA", at positions 102 to 859 of the family's 1478-position model. The record is from RNAcentral.
GGAUAACUUACCCUUUAGGACUGGGAUAACUCUGGGAAACUGGGGAUAAUACUGGAUAUUAGGCUAUGCCUGGAAUGGUUUGCCUUUGAAAUGUUUUUUCGCCUAAGGAUAGGUCUGCGGCUGAUUAGGUCGUUGGUGGGGUAAUGGCCCACCAAGCCGAUGAUCGGUACGGGUUGUGAGAGCAAGGGCCCGGAGAUGGAACCUGAGACAAGGUUCCAGACCCUACGGGGUGCAGCAGGCGCGAAACCUCCGCAAUGUACGAAAGUGCGACGGGGGGAUCCCAAGUGUUAUGCUUUUUUGUAUGACUUUUCAUUAGUGUAAAAAGCUUUUAGAAUAAGAGCUGGGCAAGACCGGUGCCAGCCGCCGCGGUAACACCGGCAGCUCGAGUGGUAGCUGUUUUUAUUGGGCCUAAAGCGUUCGUAGCCGGUUUGAUAAGUCUUUGGUGAAAGCUUGUAGCUUAACUAUAAGAAUUGCUGGAGAUACUAUUAGACUUGAAGUCGGGAGAGGUUAGAGGUACUACCGGGGUAGGGGUGAAAUCCUAUAAUCCUGGGAGGACCACCUGUGGCGAAGGCGUCUAACUGGAACGAUCUUGACGGUGAGUAACGAAAGCCAGGGGCGCGAACCGGAUUAGAUACCCGGGUAGUCCUGGCCGUAAACGAUGUGGACUUGGUGUUGGAAUGGCUUUGAGUUGUUCCGGUGCCGAAGGGAAGCUGUUAAGUCCACCGCCUGGGAAGUACGGUCGCAAGACUGAAACUUAA